GCAGCCGCGGUAAUACGUAGGGUGCGAGCGUUAAUCGGAAUUACUGGGCGUAAAGCGUGCGCAGGCGGUUUUGUAAGUCAGAUGUGAAAUCCCCGAGCUCAACUUGGGAACUGCGUUUGAAACUACAAGGCUAGAGUAUGGUAGAGGGGGGUAGAAUUCCACGUGUAGCAGUGAAAUGCGUAGAGAUGUGGAGGAAUACCAAUGGCGAAGGCAGCCCCCUGGACUAAUACUGACGCUCAUGCACG
This 245-nucleotide ribosomal RNA is filed under the name uncultured beta proteobacterium. RNAcentral's name for it is "partial 16S ribosomal RNA". It matches the Rfam family "Bacterial small subunit ribosomal RNA", at positions 511 to 755 of the family's 1533-position model. Lineage: Bacteria; Pseudomonadati; Pseudomonadota; Betaproteobacteria. The record is from RNAcentral.